Molecule: ribosomal RNA, 274 nt
Filed under: uncultured bacterium
Lineage: Bacteria
Description: partial 16S ribosomal RNA
Rfam family: Bacterial small subunit ribosomal RNA
Source: RNAcentral
AUACGGAGGGUGCGAGCGUUAAUCGGAAUUACUGGGCGUAAAGGGUGCGUAGGCGGCUUGAUAAGUCGGAUGUGAAAGCCCCGGGCUUAACCUGGGAAUUGCAUUCGAUACUGUCAGGCUAGAGUAUGUCAGAGGUUGGCGGAAUUCCUGGUGUAGCGGUGAAAUGCGUAGAUAUCAGGAGGAACACCAGUGGCGAAGGCGGCUAACUGGGGCAAUACUGACGCUGAGGCACGAAAGCGUGGGGAGCAAACAGGAUUAGAUACCCCAGUAGUCA